CCUAUACCAGCUCCACAGACACACAUAGGAAAAGAAAUAGGAAAAAAAUUUGGAUAUCAUCUCUCCCAUUUGUAACUCUAUGGCAAAGUUUGUCUGAUGAAAAAUAAUAACUACAGUAAUAAUAAGUUAAGGUUUGAUUAGAAAAGAUUUGAGUUAAAAAAUAUAUAACUAACAAAUCACACUAGUAAUUUCCAAAAAAGAGUAGGAGCAAUUACUUAUCAAAUAAUGGCCUUCUCAGUUGAGGUUGUUCCCCUUCAAAAUAUUCAAAAAUAAGUUCUGAUUCUCCAGAUAAUUGUAGGCUCGCCGAUUGUUCUGAAGACUUCUUCUUCUCAGACGCUAAAUGUUGCUCUGAACUAUGAAACUGAUUACAAACCCGCAGAACGCUUGUAUCAUCAGUACAGGGCUUGGGAAAAAGGAGUGAAAAUAUUGGAAGAUGACAAGUAGAGGGCUCCUUCACUUUUAUAUCGCUUACACAUGAAUUAAAUCCCAAAGGACCAGUAGCUGUUCCCACAUGAGUUUUACGGCUCUUAAAUAGUUGAACAGCUGAAAGAAAUGGGACAAAAUAUGCACGGAAUGCAGAGUUAACAGCACCAAAUCCAUUUGAAUUUUCCUGACCCUUGGCUUUUAUUUCUAAGCCAUAGCUGCCAUGUUUUUCAUACCAUUGCCACAGGCAACCCAAAGAAAUGUUGGUAGUCUCGUUGCUACAUGGUAUCACAUCACCAGGCAGAUUUCUUGGGCAAAUGUCACUGCUUGAAUUGGGUCUCUGGUCGAUAACAGGGGAGGAUAAAUGAAGGAAUCUUUCGAACUCUGCAAUUGGACAACCAGUUUCCAUUUGAAUAGCUUCAGAUGCCAAUUGCGCCCUACAUGCAUUAUUCACUGCUUGUUCCAUUCUAGACACAUCUUCACAUGAGGAUUUGCAAUUAAAAUGUUCAUCCACAUCGAACUCAGACUUAUGAUCCUGUAGUGUGGUUGUAUCAUAGCCAUACAUCUUCUGCACCCCACAUUCAUGUUCUAAAGGACCAUCAUCCCUAUCUCUAUAAUGCUGGAUCCCCUCAAUUACAUCAGAAACAGGAUUUAGUACGUUGCAAUUGACUCUUUCUUUAAUUGAUUUUUCCAAAGUGCCAAACUCAGCAGGCUGCGUAUUUGCAUCUCUCAGAGAUGAAAAAUCAGGUCUGGCCAAGGUGAUCGAUCUGGAACCUUCUGCUCCACUUGGCAACCAGUUCUGAAGAGGUGAUCUAGAUUGGGUGUCAUGCUUGCUGCGUUCAUCCAGGGAACUUCCUUUUGUUGCUUGAAAGAAAAGAUGAGGAAGGUAAACGGAAGACUUAACCUCUACUGGAUUUGACUGAUUUAAGGAGUUGCAUGACUUUGGCAAUGAGCUAGAGUCGUUCCCUACUUUUUGAAAAAAAAGAUGAGGAAGGUAAACAGGAGACUUAACCUCUACUGGAUUUGACUGAUUUGAGGAGUUGCAUGACUUUGGCAAUGAGCUAGAGUCAUUCUCUACUUUUUGACUGCUCAAACCAUCGUUGAUAAGUUUGUUUGAGAUCAAUUCAUCUAGAUGGACUUGUUUACUUUCAACUGAUUCAGAAUUUGUGCAUUUAUCAGUAGAAUCAUUUUGAAAACAAGAUCUUGGAUCGCCACUUGAUCUUCUUAUGUCAAAACCCAUAGAUCGAACAUCCAACUUUUCAUUUGGUGGUUUGUGAACCAUUGAACUUGUAUUACUACCACAACUAUUCCUUGUAGGACGAUAUAUCUUCUCUUGUCCUGAAGUAUUUUUUCUUUUCAACCUCCUGGGACAUUUUUCUUUCAGCUGUUUUUUGUUCCCCGUUUUUUUAUCCUUGACCUUUGGCAUUUGUACACCAACAACAGGAUUACAAAUGCCUUUAAACUGUUUGCUGAUAGGACUAACUUGGUCUAACUGUUCAGAACAUCCACCACUACUGCUUCUUUGAACCUUUUGCCAGACAGUAUGUCUGUUUUCCUUUCCCGUACGUCUUUGUGAACUCCCCAAACCACCAUAUCUAUUCAUCCUUGAACUCCCGGUCAAUUUUUUAUUUUGCUUAGUUUUCUUUCCAGGUAAAACUGAACAAGUUUCACUAACAGUACAUCCCCGAAUACCAAGAUUAGCUUUCUCCACUUCAGCAUUCAGAUCUACCUCAUCUCUUGCUGAGUUCUGAGAAGGAGAACUUCGUUCUUCCAACAGAUCAACUCCAAAACCUUGCUUUUCAUUUAAUUUUAAGUUCAGAUCAUCACAGUUACCGUUUAAACUAACCCACUUAGAAUCACGGGAAAUAUUAUCCAAAUAAUCCUUAGAGCAAAAAUCAUUGCAGCUGCCAGCAAUAAACCUCUCUCUUGAAUUUAGCCCCACAUCGACAUGGAUACAACCAGGCACGUUGAUUAGGGCCUGGUUUUCAGAUCCACAAACUUUAUAAUACCCACUGAAAUUCUUUAUUGCCAAAGAUGAAACCUUAGAUGAAUGUCCGUCAACAAUUUCAGAUGAUACUGAAUCCACAGUUCCAAGUGGCUGAAUCACAGAAUCUUGUUCAAAAUCUGGCAGAAAAGUUUCUUGUGCAAUCGAGCAUAAAACAGAUCUAUCUCUAAAAUCUGAAUCAUUACUGCCACAUGCUUCUGACAAAAAACUUGCACGGGCAGAAUCCUGGAGUGAUACUUCUGUUUCAGCAGAGACAAAAUCAGAAGAUAUAUUCUUACAUUCUAUUUCUUUCUUUUUUGCCUUCUUUCUUGGAUUUUUCUUCCCAUAUCUCUGCAUUUUAGCUCCAUCAACGGGAAUGUCAGAGAUUGCAAUAGAGUCACUUGACAUCAAAGCAGAGCCGGAGCAUGAACUUGUACAAGGGAACUUGCCAGAGGAUUGUUUUGGUGACUUAAUUGCUUUACUAUCCAGUAACUUUUUAUUGGACUCCAGCAGGCUUCUACAUCUGAGUGAAUUAAAUGAAUAUGUACCAUUGGAAGCAGGGCCUUUCUGCACCAAUUUUCUCCCAGCUGUAAACUGAUUCAUUUGAGGCAGGCAGCUCAGAUUCAAGCUAUCUAAGUAUUGUGGUGGUAGUGCAACAAUUCUCCAGAGUCCAUCAGAUUCGAGUGUAAGACAACUAAUGAUGGCACGUCUGGAAAAAGGAAACCAGGUAAAGAAAUAAUAAUCAAUAAUUUCUUCUCGUUGAAAUAAAGAGACAGAAAAAAGUCAUAGCUCAACAAUUGUAUGACUAAAACAUUACCUGUAAUCAAAAAAAUUUCUCCAUGCAAAAGAAGACACUUUAGAAUCCUGAAAGAAAUGAAGGAUGACGUUUAAAUAUAAAAUAUGCAAUCACAAUUUUAUGCAAACAAAACCAAAAUCAAAUAGAAUAAUUUUUUCUUAAAUUACGUACCGUACUUAUUCCCCUGGAACAACUGUUUUUCUCGAGUCUCAAUUCUAAUGACUCCUUUCCUUUGUCUAAAACUUUCUGAAAAUCACUACUUACAAGAGUACACUGCAUUGUUUUCUGUCAUAGUCAUCAACACGGUUCAAAAGAUAAGAAUUCUAGUGGAAUAUUUCCAAGGGCAACCAGUAAGGUUGUUAACAAAGUGCGGUUCAAAAAGGACUCCAGAAAAGGAAUAAUGGAAUAUGUAUUGAGAGUCUGAAAUAAUAAACUGAUUUUUAUUUUGACAUCACGGCACAUAAGUAUAGCACACCCACAAACAGAUAUGAAGAAAAAGAAAGAAAAACCUGAAGAAAUAUUUUCUUAAAUGUUCGUCAAAGUUUUCAUAUUGUAAUUUAAAGACAAUGCUUUGACAUGAUGACAAUCAUUAGAUCCGAACAAUACUAAUAAAUGUAAUAUCCGAAAAUCAUUAAAAUAUGAGAAUGAAAAUAUAAUUUGGGAUGGUGCCAAAAGAAAAAGAAGAUAGAAAGAGUGGCUUAAAAAAAUGACAACUUCCUUAUUGAGUAAAAGUAGAUUAAAAGAAAUUGAGAUAACAAGAAUCUUUGUUAAAUAAUAGUUCACAAUAUCUAAUCCAAUUGAACUUGGGUGUCAUCUUUUGACUACAACCAUAAUAUCCACUAUUUUGAAUAAUUUUGCUCAUGACUUGCCUCAACAAUUCUUGGGGAGGCUUUGCCCACCCAAAGUUAGCUUCCAACAAAAUUAAACCCAUGAAGUUGAUCAUGAUACCAUGAAAUUAGAACCUUAAUUAAUACAAUUCUUAUGUAACUACCAAAUACAGAAAGGCAGAUUCUAGCAAAACAAACAGCGCUAAUGUAGAAAAAUCAGAAAGCUCAGACUUCUUGAACGAAGAAACAAACAGAGUUUUGAUAAAGAGAAUAUUAAAGCCAUUUUUCUCCAGGAGAAUGUUGUUUAUUAAAACAAACGAAUAGCCAGAAACCCAAAGAAUAGACAUAAGGUACAUGCAUUAAGGGAGAAAACCCAGAUAGAAAAAACAACCUUUUCCUGAAAUGUUUUUCCCCAAUCAAUACAACAAAAAGCUGUAGCACACAAAACUUACCGAUCAAAAGAAACUCGUUCAACAACCAAAACUUCAAUGAAACAUUAUGAAAACAAGAUGAAGAAAAAGAAGAACAUAUACACGGUACGGCUCCAUUGAAAUUAAUCACCCAAUUAGAACCAUUGAGGAAGGCUAGUACUAAAUUUGACUAGACCCACAAAUAUCAAAGAGAAAUUGAAAACUCUCAAUUUAAGAACUAUACCAAUUUAGACACAAUCUUCACCCAAAUAUAGCCACAGGAUUCAGAUUACAGGGUAACAUACAAAAUCUACAACAAUCAACUAUUUGCCAAAAUUAGAAACGUUUCCUACCCUGUCAUCUCUAAUUCAAAAUAGAGAAACAAAGUAGACAGAUUAAGAUAGAAUAGAUUAUAUAUCGACUCUUUUAGGAAAAAAAGCAUACAAUGAUUUCUAGUUACUUUUCUAUAAAAGGAGCGCGAAAAUUGGAUAGUCAAGCCAUUUCACUACACACAAAUCAGAGAAAGUCAGUGAGUGAUCGAUUAGCUAAGAGAAGUAGAAGGAAACUGACCCAUUUCCAUUGGCGGGAGAGAAUCGAAGGAAUUACAAGGAGAAAAGCUUGUUCUUCAAGUGGACAAUAGCGUUUAUCUUUUUCUCUCUAUCGGAAUUUUGCUAGUGGCUUGCUUGAAAGGACCUGCGGCUGAUAUAAGCAAGUAUUUUUUGGUUUGUAUCUGACGAUUACGCUUUUCUUCAUUUUAUGACGGUCACUCUCUAUUAAGUAAAUACUUCGUAUUGUAUUUUAAAUUGGAAAACAUUCAAAAUUAUUUAUAAAUGUGAUAAAAUAGCCAAAUGCAAUAGAUAAUAAAAUAACUUGAUAGAUUAGUACAUGUGUUGAUAGAUUAUUACAUACCAUCUACUCUAUUAUAUUUUGUAAAUAUUUUGAUUUAUUUUAAGAAGAUCGUCAAAAUAGUGAAUUUGAUAAAAUACUUACAAGCUAUAUCAAAAUUUCAUAUUGUAUCAAUAACAAAUAUUUGAUAGAUAUCGAUAUUCUUUUAUUAAUGACAUUAAUAAAUCGUGAUAGAAGUCUGACAGUUUCUAUCGGUGAUAUAAUCAAAAAAUUUGCAGUUGUAAAUAUUUUAAUUUAUUUUGCUAUUUAAAAAAAAUGUCCAUUCAUUUUAGUAUAUUUGAAAAUAAUCCUUUUAUAUUGGUAUUUAUUCUUUUGGAAUUAAAUCUAAUAAGUUCCAAAAUAUUACAUUUUUUUAAAGUUUGAAACAUGAUAUUUUUUCUUGUUUUUCUUUUUUUUAAUUGAUAUAAUUUUACCAAUUUAAGCUUGGUUUCAAAUUCAUUCAUAGAUUUCAACAUUUACAUCUUAAUUCCAUUUUUUUUAUUAAAUGCUCAUAUUUUGUCUUUGACCAUAUUGAUCGAUUUCAGAUAAUUGUGAAAUUAUAUUUUAAAAACCAAAAAUAGAUAUUUCGUAAAAAAUUAAAAUAAUCUUAAAAUAUUUUAAAAACCAAAAAUAGAUAUUUCGUAAAAAAUUAAAAUAAUCUUAAAACAUAUGGACCAAAUUGAUUCAGAAGUCAAAUUUCAUUAGAAUAAUUGUAACAUUUUAAAAUUUGAGGACUAAAUUGACAUAAAAACAAGAUGGUCGUACAAGCAUUGACUCAUCAAGUGAUAGUCACUCUAAAACUCUCGAUACACAAAAUAUAAGGACCAGCCCAUGUUGAUAGAGCUCGAGAAAGUGUUGUACUUCAGUAAAAUAAAUUUGACAAUUCACAAUGAUUAGUAAUGACUUUUAAUUACUGAAGAAGUUAAUUAGCAAAUAAUUGUUAUGAAGCUUAUUUCUAUACAAUCAUGGAGACUCACAAAAUUCGAGGUAAGUUGGUGAUGGCCAAACACUAAAUUGAUGUAAGUUUCUUUAUUUUACAAGACUUUGUUUGAUUCUCUUCCAAAAAUUACAAAUUCAAAGUUAGUACCAAAAUUCUAUAUCAAAACACUAAUUUUAAAUUAUAAUAAAAUUAUGCCUACUUCAAAAUUGUAACAUAUGUUUAAUAAAAUUCCAUAAAUUUUAGAUAUUGAUACAAUAUUGAAAUUUGAUUUUUAAGUAUUAACUUGCCUUCUCGUUUCCUCCUCAAAAAAAAGUAUUAACUUGCUUUCAUGGCAAGGAGAAAUUUCUAGCAAACAAACUCGAGCUCAUGCUUUUUGUUUACUAUUUUGUUGAAGGGUGUGGAAAUGAUGAUUUUGACAAGAACGAUAGCUUCAAUUGCUAAGAAAGUCAUGACGUCUCAAAAUAAUUCACUAUUAAAAAAGAACUAUUCAAUUUAUGAUAUAUAUAUAUAUAUAUAUAUAUAUAUACAUACUAAAUCUAUGUUUAUUAUUAUUUGGAGUCUAAAGUUAUAUUGGAAUUAAAGGAAAAAAGAAGAAAAAAAAAUUGAUUGCACUAGAUUGAACCCAUAUUAAAGAGUUCUAAAGAUUUAAAGAAAGAAAUGUUUAAAAUUAAACAAUCAUGAAUAUAUCAUAGAAAUUUUCAAUUAAAAAUCUAAAGACAUCCUUAUUCAUUUAGGAGGUGAUCAAACUCAAACAAAGUUAAAUAAUUUAUUUUUUGUUUGUAUGUUUUUCACUAUGAAAAAGAAAUUUAAUAAGAAAAGAGAAACCUCAUCUGCACUAUGCUAAGAGAGGGAGGGAUUGCAGAUAGAACAGGAACAAAUAAACUGAUUUUCUGUAUCUGCUUAUCAUUUUUCAUGGCAAAAUCCACAGGCCCAGAGAAAACAAGUACAAGAUCAGUUGGAAUACGAAUCAAAUGCUGAUAUGGAAAUGCAAAACUGAACCAUCCAGUCUAUCAAGAGAUAAACCAUUCAUUCAUAUUAUCAGUUGGAUAUGGAGUUAGCACAAGGGGAUAAUGGCAUUUGAAACGAAAAAUAUUUAAUCAUAGAGUAGCAGCAUUAUCAACAUGUUUGUACUACAGCAAGUCCUUAAUCCAUAUCGAGUAUUGUUUUUGUUUUCCUAAAAGAAACUUACAAAAUAUUCAUGAUACUAGUAGAAGUCCAUUGCAAGAAUAAGCAUUUCAGCGGGCCUCGUACUGAACAACUGCAGUAAUAGGCAAGAAUUGGAUUGGACUUCAAAUUUGGAAGAAGCAAAUAAAUAUCAAGGACACAGAAAGUAAUGCAAAUUGACCCAUAUAACAAAAAUAUUGAAAAAACUAAACUAAGAGAAUAGACUCCAAUAACAUCCAUAAAGAGAGAAUCUAAACUUAAUCUCAAGACUUAUAGUAAGAGAGCAUUCCAAGUCAUAUAAGAUUACAAGGAUACCCCAAGAAACAAAUUUUUCAGUCAAUUAUCGACUUAGGUCAAGUAUAAUAGAUUCUGCUGAAAUACAUCCUGUUGUGACAGUAUAUUACCCAAACUACAACCAUCCUGCCAAUUAACAGUUGGAUAUAUGUGCAAUCUAUAAACUUCAGAACAAACUAAGUCAAUAAAAUAGUUGUUUUAGAUUACCCAUUACUCAGAAUCUUCAAAUGAAUUACAAAGAAGGUAAAUAAGAUUUAACCAGGAAGAAAACAGCAUUGAGUAUGGAUGUUAUAGAGUGGAUCAAAUGAUUUUCAAACAGAAAAAAAUAAGUGAAAACGUAGCCGAUCAUUCAACUCGUGCAAAGUAGUGAAGUGGAUAUAGAGUUCUCGACACAAGAAGAUGAUUUUGAUAGAGUUAAAGUCAGUUUUGGUGAGCUCAAAAUCACUCCAAAACAAGUCUUUUAUAGUUCAAGAUCAAUUUACCUUUUGAUUUAAUUCUUUUAAAUGUGACUUUCAAACAGUCAAGUUGAUUUUGGUUGAGCAAAACAUGUUUUGGAGUGAUCUACGAAGAUGAUAAAGUGAUUACAACCAUUUUAAAACCUCCCAACCAUGCCUAUAUGCAAAACCAGCCAAAGCCGCCAGUCUCAGAGUUUGACCCGCAUGUGUGACACUUCUUCAAUAUCUACUCAUACCAAAUAGCUCAUCUAUGUUUCUUGUUCCAUAUAAGAUUUAUAAUCAAACAUAUGAAAAUCUAAGACAACUUAUUUGAUGAGAUUCAAAAUUCCAAUCAUCUUUAACAGAAUGUUCAAUUGACAGACGACAUAUUCAUGAACAAAAUAAUAAUAACAAUAAUAACCACCAAAAUCAGAAGAAGUAUAUCUUACUGCGACGGGUGCGCUUCUUGUAGAGAAUACGAUAACCACACUCCCGGCACUGUAUAACAUCACCCUGCUUCAGAGUGUUCUCCAUUCCACAAUCUACACAAAUUUUACAUCUCUCAAUUCCCAAACAUAGUCAUAUAUAUACGCGUAUAUUUAGAGCAAUUAUUCUAACCAAGAAACUUCUAAAUUCCCAGUCUUAAUAUAAUCAAAGUAACUAGAUACUUGUUAAAAGAUGCAUCCGAUAACAUAACUAAAGAACCUAAAUAAUCGGGAGAUAUUCAAUCCCGAAAUCCGUAAAAACACAACAAGUAUACCUCCACAGAUGUAGCUGACUGGCUCGGGUUGAGGAUCCAUGAGUCAAGCUUCAAAAAUCUUCCUGCAAACCAAUUAUUGCACACACAAGUAAGAAACAAGCAUCAACGGAACAAUGAGAAUAAAGAAAAAUGGGGGUGAGAAUGUGCCGACGACCGGCGACCGCGAUGGCGGAAGGAUAGGAGAGAAAAAACAAUCGGCGCGUACCUACCGCUGCAAGGACGAUACGAAUAAUGAUGGGUGAGGGAAAAAUCAAACAAAAAUAAAAGGGAGGAGAAGGUGUAGUAGGGUUUUUCCCUUCUUUUUUAUGUUAAAAUAACUUUUUGGUUCUUAUAUUAAUUUUAGUCAAAGGUGAGGAAGAGGAGACGAAGACGAAGACGAAGACGAAAGAGAAUGAGAGGAUGCGAGAUGAGAGAGACGGAGGGAAGGGGGCUCGUCGUUGGUUUAAAAAUAAAUCACAAACCCUAAACUAAACGUAUAUAUUCUUUUACUUAAUUUUCAUAAAUGUAACAAAAUAAAAAUUUAAAUAUUCCACUUUGUCAUAGCCUUUUUCUUUUCAUCUUGAUUGCAUAGUUAUUUAAAGAUAGUAUAAAUCUAAACGUAUCAAAUAUUUGAUAUUGAUAUGUUUAAAUUUGGGUAGAGAUUGUGUAAUAAUAGUUGGAAUCACAUAGUUCAAAAGGUAAUAUUUUUUUAAUAAAUGAAAGUAUAUAUUAAAUUUAGUUCGAUUUCAAUAGUGGUUUUCAAAAUAGAAACCGAACCGUUUAAAUUCAAUUUAAAACCUUUUGAUUUUGCACAUAAAUCGAUUCAAUUUUAACAAUAGACUCGGUUUCUAUCGUUCUUUUGCCCAUCCCUAAAAUAAUUUGUUCUAUGAAGUUGCAUAGUUUGCCAAAUUUUUAUAUUUGUAAGGAAAUCACUUUAAAAAAUACAAGGCAAAUGUCAAUUGACAUGAUUAAACUUGGGUUACCCCAAUUUAAACCAUAGAUUAAUAAUUAUAUUAAUUUAAAAUUUAAACUAUAUAUUUUAAUCGGUUUAUACUCUAAACUUCUAUAAAUGCACUCAUUUAAACCCUCAACUUUCAUACAUAUUUGACAAAAGUUCUAUAAAUCCUUGAUUAUAAUAUUUAGAAAAAUAUGGCACUAACUAUAAAGAUAUUUUCUCUUUUUUUACUAUAUAAUAUAGAACUAUUUUCAAAUAUAAUAAAAUAAAGCAAAUAUUUAUAAAAUAUCACAAUUUUAUGUAUAGUACAUUUGUCUAUAUAAAUUAUAGAUUACUAUGAAACUAUGAAAGGAAAAUUGCAUUAGUUAAUAAAAAAGUUUAGAAAAAACAGCUCAUAAUAUUUGUUUUUUGCACAUUACAAAUUUGAUAAAUAUGAUUAGUAAAUAUGGCAAUCAGACCACUUUUAAAUUUACUAUUUUUACAAUUUAGAAAAUGUAGAUAACAUGAACUUUUAUGGUUUGCUAUUUUUGCGAACUCCGCUCCUAAAAUGAAUAAACUAUUUACACAAAAUGUAACAGUGUAAAUAAUUUGUAUUUAAAAAAAAAAACACUUUGUAUGUGUAAAUAUUUUUUUUAUAGUUUGUCUACUUCCAUGUAUUAAGGGCAAAAUAACUAAUCAAUUAAUGUAUUAUUAUUUUGAAAUAAUCAAACUUAGUAUUAAUGUAUUUACUAAAUCGUUUCCCGGGUGACCCACUCCUUCCUUGUCCUCUUGCUUCUGCGCUAUUUUCCUCCCUUAACCUUUUCUAUACAUCAAAUUUGGAUCUAUCAACUUCAACAUGAAUUUUCUUUUAUCACAAAACAAGAAAAGAAAAUGUUGUUCAAAGUUGAUGAAGUUGCUUAGGAACUUUCUGCUUCCGCGUUAUUAUUUUAACUCCACUUGUUCCAUGAUCUUCUUCCAAUUUUCUCUUUCCAUAAAAUAGAAUUUCCUACUCACAAAUUCUCCCGUUUCUUUCGAUGGAAGUUACGAUUCAAAGGUAGAGUUGAUUCCAUAAAUUACAGAUUGAUUUCCAAUCUCUUUGUCCGGUUGAUCGUCCUUCCGUCGGAAGGCGAUUCCGGCCACUGUUCAGAAUUUCGUAGCUUUCGUUGUUCGAAGCCCUAUGAUGAAAUCUUUCGACAAAACGCCGGAUAGGAACUCGUCUUUUUCUGAACCUGUCAGCUCAAUCCACAGUCCUCUUUAUUCCGAUGGCUCUCCUUCUUCUUCCGGUAAUAAUCAUUCUUCUCUCGAUCUUGGCGCCGUUCUGUUCAUCUAAGAUUGAUGGGGUAGUCAUUUUUUGCAGGUAACAAUAAUUCAAAAUCAGGGCGUAAGAAACAAUUAAUCAGGAAACGAGGUGGAUUUGUAUUUCGGGUAUACGAGCAUGGUAAGGAUCGAUAGUUUUUGCUGUAGAAAUGUAUUGAACACUACCUGUUUGUGGAAAUGCCAUCUGAAAUUUAUCACAAUAUGAUAUGAUGGAAUGAGGGUAAUCUUGUGUUUGUGUGAAAUCUGUAGUUAAGUUGGGGCCUAAAUUCUUGGUAACUGCUAAAGGUAAAUUGAGAUUAGGGGCAAAAAUAAUACAACAAGGUGGCAGAAAGAACAUAUUCAAACAGGUUUUUGGAAUUGUAGAAGGAGAGCAGCUUUUGAAGGCCUCUCAAUGCUACUUAUCAACAAGUGCAGGGCCCAUUGCUGGGCUUCUUUUCAUAUCUACAGAGAAAGUUGCUUUCUGCAGUGAGCAAAGUAUCACUUUCUCUUCACCAACUGGUGAAUUGCUCAAAACACCUUAUAAGGUAAUCUCUUUGCACUUAAGCAUUCGACUCAGGGUCAGAAAGAUGUAAAACAUUUAUUCUGCUAGACACGUAGUAGAUUGCACACAAGUCAUGUUUGAUUGAUUUGAUUGAUUUGAUUUGACCAUAUAUAUAACAUAAAGUUCUGAUUUUCAGAAAAUGGAAGUCAAAGAUUUUAGGUGUAGAAUGGAAGAUACACACAUAGAUACUGACAAUUUUGGCUGGUCUUUUUAUAUAAAAGAUCACCAACUUUUCGUUGGGAGAAAGUGAUUGAACUAACUGAAAAGUGUCUAGGUGAAAGCUAUGAUGUAACUAUCCAUAUGUGCUUAGUUCUUAUCGAGAAUUUUGUUCAGGCUUGGGAUCUAGGACCAAGAUCGUAAUUUCGAACUAUCUAAUCUGUGAAAGUUUAAACACCAUGCGAUUCAAAACUUCCAUGAGAUGCAUAAUAUUACAAGCUAACCUUUUAAGAUAUAUAAUACUUCCAAAUUAAAGGGGUAUAUUAAGACCCCUGCUUUGCAGUUUGAUGACUUUCCCCCCUUACAUAAAGGUGUGUUUAAAUAAAGUUCUUUCUUGAGAAUAAUUUAAAACUCCACAAUCUUUCUUUGUAUUAAAAGCAAAAAGGAAAAAGAGUUUAACUUUCAAAAAGCUGAGAAGGAUCUCUCUAGCACUAAACUACUACUUUUCCCAACCUGUUAGGGCAUGUUUACUCUUGUUAGGCCCAAAGUCAAUAAAAAAAAUGCAUGACGAAAGUGACCUUAGUCAUUAAAAAAUACUUCCAAACAUGCAAUUCAUACCUGCUAAAGAUCAUACCCUUUGAAAAUGACAGUGGUGUGUGAUUUUCUACAGGUUUUGAUACCAUUAAAGAAGAUCAGAAAAGCCAAUCAAAGUGAGAAUGUCAAUGAUCCAGCAAAAAAGUACAUCGAAGUGGUGACAGAUGACAACUUUGAUUUCUGGUUUAUGGGAUUUUUGAGAUAUGAAAAGGCAUUUACAAAUCUUCAGAAGGCCAUUUCCAUGGCUAACAAUUCAAUGCAACAGUUCACAGAUAUAUCAUGAAACUAACCAAUUCUGGCCGAAGAAGGUGUUGCUUUUCCUUCCCAUUCAUAGGAGUGAGUGCUUUUUGAACUUAGGAAUUUGAUAGGUAUUUCACAUACUCACAUCUUGGAGUGUUUCUAAUGAAUGUAUUGCUCUAUAUUUUGUAUGUAUAUCUGAUGACUGUUGUUUAAGUUUAGUUUUCCCACAUCCCUGUGCAUCGAAGUGGGCUUGAUUGAAAUAUGUAAAAUAUCUUAUUUGCUCCUAAAUUGUAUUUUACUCGAACUCAUCAGGUACUUUUGUUAUUUUCUUUUGAUUUUUCAUCUUGUUCUCUCGUUAAUCUCUAGCAGAUUUAGCAUGAACCUCAAGACUCGAACUCUCCCAAUCUUAUCUUAUUUAUAUAAUAUAUAAAGGAAAAACCAAUAUGAUACCGAUCAAUAUAAUUUUUUAGUCUUCAAUAUAUACAUUUAUAACAUAAAUUUUAACUUCCAACAAUGGUUUGUUUUUUUAGCUAGUACCUAAAAUGUAUUAUUGAGUCUAUAUAUAUUUAUGUUAGAUCCACAAAUAGGUUGUAGAUUAAACUUUCAUAAUCAUUUAUGUAUUUAACUAAUCUUGAGUUUAACAAAGCUAUGUAUCCGUUCUUUCUAAUAUUCUUCCCACAUUUGUUGGGUCAUUUUGAAAUAUGCUCUCUUAAGGAUCUAAUGUCUCCGCUCGUAAAAUUAGAAAGGGUUAGACUUGCUUUUGUUUUCAAAACCACUAAAAAAAUGCUUUCAAUAAUUUGGAUUUAAAUAAGUAAUAUAAUUAUCUAAUGGUUUUCUCUAAUACUUUAUCAAAUGAAAUAAAAUAAGUUUUUUAUUUAAAAAUUAAAAUGUUUUAAAUGAUUAUCUUAAAACAAACAACUUUUAAAUAGGUGUAUAAGAAUUUCAACAUCAAAUCUCACAGCAUACAUAUAUACUAAUUAACAUGUUUACCAAACCGUAAUGAAAAGUUAUGCCAUCAUAAAAGAAUUUCAUUGUUAAAUCAAUUAAAUUGCUUUCAAUCUUUUUUUACUUAGAGUUAUAAAUAUGUCACAAUUAUUAUUAGUAUUAUCUUUACCACUUAACAUAAACGAGAGGAUUUAUCUAUUACCACUAGCUUUGUCAUUAAGAAUAACAAUAACGGUAACUAUAACGAUAAAAGUAAUGCUAACAACUUGUAGAUUCAAAUCGUAAUAGACCCCACAUCUCAUUACUUUAAACCAACUAUAAUUCAAACAAAGUCCAUUUUUCAAUUUAGCAUCCAUUUAUUACGUAUACCCAAUUUUUUUUUAGAUCUUGAGUAAACUCAUACUCAAUUAAUGCAAAUCGAACACAAAAAUUUUGAUUUCAUUUAUUUUUUCUUUAAAACAAAUGGCAAUAAUAAUAAGAUAAUUGCAUUAGAUGAGAAAUUUUUUUUAGAAAAAACAAUUUAUAACAUAUUUUAUAAUUAUUUUUAUUUUCCUAUUUUUACAAACUUGUUGUGAUUAGGAAAAGAAAGAUACUUUCAGUGAACGGGAACAACCGUUUAUAGAAAAACAAUCCAAUAGAGUAUUUUAUUCUUCUAAUAAUAAACAAGCAAUAACCAUAUCUUUUAUUUAAUUAAGAUAAAACACUUAUACAUGAAUUAAACACAAACUAUUUCACAAACUCAUUCACUUUAAUCUUUCAAUUAAACUUUCUUGAACAUAACAGGGAAUGGCGUAUCGCUCAAAGCCAAAGCCCUUUCUCCAUUCUUGAAGAAGAUUCCAAUAUCUCUACACAUAACUUUACAGAAAUUACAAACAGUCGGACAGAACACCAAUUUGUAAUCCUUACCAUGCUUCUCAAUUUUGAACCAGUUAUCCACCGUCUCCACUCCCGGAUUUCCCCUGCUUCCGCCGAUCGUCACCAACCAUUGUCCUGUCGAUUCAUCGAAUUUGUCCAAUUUCCACACCGUCGAUGUCACGCAGAUCGUACUCGCCUCGAAUUGUACAUUCAAAUCGGUUGAAACUCGGACCACUCCCUUUUUAGGGUUUACAGGAUGAAAUGUUGUUGGAAAUCCGUUCAUUACUUCGAGUUGUUCUUGAACGACGUUGAGUGGACAUUUCUCCGAUUGGAGGUUGCCUAGGGUUAGGCCGCCGCCUCUGCCGCGGAAAACGGGGAGGAUGUAGUAGUUGACGCCGGCUCGGAGCUUCUUGCCGUCGAUGUCGAGGACGGCCUCCGGCGAAGCGUCGGCUGUGGAGAAGCGAAUCAGCUGGGUUGAGGCAAGGAGAAUGAAAAGAAAAUAGAAUAAUAUUCCGAAAUUCUUCAUUUUAUUUAUUAACAAUGUGGACUUUCUUUUGUUGGGUUGCUUAAUUCGAUAGGGAAAGGUUUUGUAUUUAUAGCGUAGAGGAGAGCGAGAGUCGAAAUUGCUCACUAUUUUCUCUCCUUCUAUUAGAUCAAAUGCAUCAUUUUCCAACUUGCCGCCAUGACGUGGCAGUACGUUUGCAUGGGUUUCAUAUUAGAUUGUUGAAUAUUGAUGUCUUAAUAAUUAUUUAAUAUGGACUAAGACUUAUUUAGUUGAUAAUCCAAAUUUUAUUUCAUGUUUAGUGAGUUUUAGCAAAUUCAAUAGUAAAACCUUUUUUUAUUAUUAUGUUUUUAUUAUAUUUAGAUUUAAAGUAUCAAACUACAAAAUUUAUAAUUAUAUUAAAUAAAGAUUAAGAAAAAAUUAAAAGUAUAAUAUGUUAUCAAGUUAUAAACUCAAUUACUCCAAAAAAAAUUAAAAUAUACAUUAUAAAUUAUAUAGUAUUACAAAAUAAUUACCAUACAAAAAAUAAAUCAAUAAUGGUUUAUUCUCAAAUAAUAUUUAAUGGGUAACUAUAGCUACUUUUCCAAAUAAUUGUUUAACUUAUGAUUAAAAUUAAUCUUUUAUUAACAUAAAAUAAAACUUUGUUUUUAUUCAAUCUUUCGUUUAUUUUUACAAUUUUUUUCAUAAUCUAAAAAAAUAUGCUGAUUGGAAAAGAAAGAAAAAGUUUUUUUUGGUAAUAUAUUAUGAUCUAAAAUGUUGGGGUGUUACAUUAUGCUCAAAGUUGGUCACAUGCAACUCUAUUGAAUUCCAAAAUCGUUAUUAAAUUUUUUAAAAUUUCAAAAUCAAUUAAUUUUUCAAUUUUCCACAUUGAAUUAACUACAACAAAAGUAAUGAAUUGUUUUUCCAGUUCUUAAUAUAUCUAUGCCUAGAUAUAUACUAAGAAAAUAGUGAGAAAUAACUCAAAUUUUUAUCUUAUAAAAUUAGUAUUUUCUUUUUCAACUUAUAUGCUUGAUCAUUUUUGGUGCAUCUAGGUAGUGUACAUUUAUUCAAAUCUUCCCAAAUAUUAAAAGUGUAUAUAUAUUAAGCCUACUGUGUUAUAAGAUAAACAUGUGAGAUUGGAUAAAGUUUGUAAAGUCAAACUAUUAAACUUCAUGUGAUUGUAUUCAAUAUAUAAUAUCUCUUUGAAUAUUGAGAAUUGUUGACUGUGAUUCAAAGAGCCUUUUUUUAAAUUAUAUUUCUGUGAAUUUAAAAAUAAAUUAAAUACAAAUCUGUGAACCAAAGGCUUUUAAUUUUCCUUCUUCUCUACGUUUAUUGAAAUAAAUUAAAUUUCCGACGACUUCUUUUUCCCUUAUUUUUAAAAACCAUAUUAGUUUGAAAAAUGAGAUACAAUCUUAUAUUUAAUAGUUUAUCCAUUCUGAUGAGAUAGAUAACUUCACAAUUAUAUAUAUAUAUAUAAAAAGUUUUAUAUUUAAUAGUUUAUCCAAUAUUUUUAAGAUAGAAUACUUGACAAAUAGACCAAAAAAAAUUAAACCACUAACCAAACUAUAGACGACUAGAUAAAGAUUUUAGAGACUUCAAUUAGUUGGUCAAAUUGUACGUUUUUAUAGUCAUAUUGGUUUGAACAUUUACUAAAUCGAUCAUAAUCGAUUAUUGCGAUGGUUUGAUUCAAAAUUCAUUACCGAUGUUUGAAUUUAAGAGUAAAAUUGUACAUUUUAUAAUUGUUUUAAGUCUAUAUGAGAAUUUGUAAUAUAAUGCUUGGUCAUAUAUUCUUCCUUUGAAAAAAAAUAAUUGAGUGAAUUUAAAGAAACUGCAUAGAACAAGGUUUAUUAUAACCAAAUAUUUUCAUUUGCUAACUUAAAAAAUUAGCAAAACUUCUCACAAUUAUUCUGACUCUAACUAAUAUUAAUUAAAGAGAAAAUGAAAUCUAUAGAUAAUGAUUAUUAUAAAUUUUUUUAAUAUAAUUUGACGCAUGAAAACGUAAGUAGUAGAGUAAAUGACAUAAUAUAGGUUAAUUCUAUGAGUUUUUUUCUAAAUGUUUUUGUCUUUUCAUGCAAUUUUUCUUUCAUCAAAUACCAAAAGCAAAAGUGUUAGAUUCCACUUUUUUUUCGCUUUUUAGAUGUACUCGAGUGAGAGUUACAAAUACACCUCAAACUUUCAAUAGUAAUAUAAAAGAAUUUUGAACUUUUAAAAAUGUUAAUAUUGGAUCAUCGUCAUACUUAUAAAUAAUUGUAAAAGUUGGACUCACAAAUAAUAAAAAUUGAAUUCAAAAUCGUACAUAAUCAACACCGCAUCCAAUUUUGUUGAUAUAAUUACAAUUAUUACCAUACUUCAAUAAUGUUUUUUUGCAAUUUGCCUAUUAUUAGGUCCAUGUCUAGUAUCCAAUUGUUAUAUAUAUAUAUAUAAAGCAUACAUAAUAUAACUAGAGAUAUAUAUUUUAUUUAUUUCACGAAAUUAAGUCGUGAUUUAUUAUUACAAUAGAAAUUGAGAAUUGGAUGAAAUUUAUCACACCCAAAACCCAACCUCUUGACAUCUUUCACAUUCAUCAAUCAUAAACUUUCUUGAACAUAACCGGAAAUGGCGUAUCGCUCAAAACAAGACCUUUUAUUCCAUUGUUCUCAAAUAUACCAAUAUCUUUGCACAUUACUUUGCAAUUCUUACACACCACUCUUGGACAAUACACCAACUUAGUAACCUUCCCAUAUUGCUCUAUUUUGAACCAGUUUUCCGUAGUCUCUCACCCCGGAUUCUCUUUCGUUCCGCCAAUUGUUACGAAAUAUUGCCUCAAAUAUUGAUCAAAUGUUCCUAAUCUCCACACCGUCGAUUUCACACACCUUGUAGUCGCAUCAAACUCGAUGUUCAAAUCGGUGGAGACUCAAACCACACCCUUUUUAAGGUUUAUUGGUAAAAAUGUAGUGGAAAAACCAUCGGGUUGUUCGUAACACUCCUAGACGACGUUGACACCACAUCUAUCGUAUUCUUUUCGGAUAUUCCCGAUGGCGAAACUUCCACCACCAACACUGCCUUGAAUUGCUGGGAGGAUGUAGUAUUUGUUGCUGAUUCUGAGCUUCUUUCCAUCGGUGUCGAGGACGGGAUCUGGUGACGCAUCAGCUCCGCAGAAGCGUACCUCAGAUGAGGCAAUGACAAUGGCAAUGAAAAGACAAGUGAGUAAUGCAAAAUGCAUAUUUGAUACAUUAAUGUUUUUGACACAAAACAAGUUUUUGACUGAGGGCCAAUAAAAUUUCAAUUAAUUUGCGAUCAAAACAUUUUUGAGUCAAUCAUGUUCGUCAGAUUCCUUAUUAGAGAUAAAUUUUUAAAAGAGAAAAAAAGAAAAGUCAAGCUUUGUUUUUAGAGUACAAAUUAAAAAUCAAAGAUUUGAAAUAAAAGUAUAUAUAUAUAGACGUGAGUUAAACUGAUGUUAAAAUAUAUCAAACUUUUCAAUUUUUGUGCAGCAUAAUUAUAUUAAUAUAUAUGGAUUUUUAUGUAUUAACCCUUUUUAAAGUUUAGGUUCAUUUAAAAUAACUUUUUUCUUAAAAAAAAAGUCGAAGGUCCAAUGUGUUCUGGAAAUUAAAAAUUGUAAAAGUGAAUACUUUAAAAUAAAAAUAAAAUAUUUUUCCUUAUUUCAAAAUAUUUUAGAGACAAACUAAUUGCCUUCAUGUGAUUGCAUUUACUACUCUUUUAGCUUUGCACAUGAUGUAUGUACUUGACUUUUCUUUUUCUCUUUAUUAUAUAUAUAUAUAUAUAUAUAUAUAUAUAUAUAUAUAUAUAUAUAUAUUAAAAAUAAUUAUAAUUGACGGUAAUAUAAUAAAGCAUAUAGUAACAUUUUAAAAAAAAUUGAAAAUAUAACAAAAUCUAUCUGCUAUAAAUUUCUAUUAUCGAUAGACUUUAUCGGUGAUCUAUUAGUCAAGACAAAUUAUUUUAUAUUUACAAAUUUUUUAAAAUGUUGUUAUUUAUUUAGUUAUUUUGAAUCUAAUUCUUUUAUUUGCAAUAAUUUUUGCAGGUUUUAAAUAAGUUAUAUUUUCAUCCAAGAUAAAUUAACAAAAACUCAACUGAUUGAUUAAGAUAUUAUACAAGGUUUUUUUAAAAAAUAAUAAAAAGAUAAAUAUUUACACUCUAUCGAACAAAAAAAAUACUAAAAAGACCAAAAAAAAUCGUUACUCUUGAUUUUUUUAUGAAGUCUAAACAUUUUGUCAAUUUUAGACAUUGGUGGGAUUCUAACGGUGUCCAUCAUAGUAACAUCGUAAGACGUUGAUAAAUCUAAAAUUUUGUUAUAUUUUGUAAAUAUUUUCAACACUUUUGUCAUUUACAAUAAUUCUCUAUUCUUAAUAAAGCUAUAAAUAGUCUUACAUUCUUUAAACAAGGAUAGUGUUAUUUUAAAUUAAGGUUUAAAAUGUUGAUGUCGAAGAAAAUAUCGAGAUCUUAAUUUUAUGAAAAAACUAUAAAUUUAUUGUAAAAAUAUCCAUUACAAUGGAUAGUAUGAAAAUUUAUUAAAAUAAUCCAAUAAACAAUCAAUUUAAAUUAGCCAGAUAAAUAUUUAAGGAUUUCUUAAUAAUAUAUAACUACUAUUUAUAUUAGUGCUAAUUUGAUUAUUAUUUUAUAUUUUUCUACAAUACAAUGACAACAUCAAUUUUUUAUAUAUAUAUUAGUGUGGAAUUCAUAUCAACAUUUUACUGUAUUUUUGUAAAUAACAAAGAUUCAAUUUUUACUAUUUAUAACAAAUUUUCAAUAAAAUAACGAAACUUUUAUUGCAAUAAAGAUGAUUACAACAAUUUAUUUAUUAUUACAUUGGAUAUAGAGAGAGAAAAUUUAGUCAUUAAUUUCCCUCUCAUCAUGACCAUCACUAUCAGCUUCAAAUUCAAACUUUCUUGAACAUAACAGGGAAUGGAGCAUCAUUCAAAGCAAUAACCCUCCUUCCAUUCUUGUAAAAUAAUCCCACAUCUUUGCACACUACUUUGCAAUACUUACAAACUGUUGGACAAUACACCAACUUAUAAUUCUUACCAUACUUCUCCACUUUGAACCAAUUUUCUAUUGUUUCCCGCCCCGGAUUCCCUUUCAUUCCCCCCAUCGUCACAAAAUACUGCUUCAAGUAUUCAUCAAACUUACCUACUUUCCAUACCGUCGAUAUUCCGCACCUCGUGUUCGCCUCGAAUUGGAUGUUCAAAUCUGUAGAAACUCGGACCACACCCUUUUUAGGGUUUAUGGGGGAAAACGUCGCCGGUAGACCGUGUAAAUAAUCGUAUGAUUCCGGGAGGAUGUUGAUGGGACAUUUUUCGUAUCCGUAGAUACCGCCGAUGCUUAAUCCACCACUGUUUCUGCUGUAAACUGAAAGAAUAUAAUAUUGAUCACCGGCUCGAAGCUUCUUUCCGUCGGUGUCGAGGACCGCAUCGGGGGAGGCAUCCGCUCUGCAGAAGCGUACCUCAGAUGAGGCAAUGACAAUGAAAAGAAAACACAGUAAUGCAAAGUUUCUCAUUUCUUUUGGUGAUUUUGUUUCUUAUGUAGAUGAUGAUAUUGGAAUUGAAAAAGAAGUCUAUUUAUAGGAAAUUAUAGAGAAAGAGAGAUUGAAAUUGCUCACUGUAUUGUUUCUCAUUGUAUUGCUUUCCCGGCGGGCGCCA
This 20592-nucleotide long non-coding RNA is filed under the name Cucumis sativus (cucumber). RNAcentral's name for it is "long non-coding RNA (CSAT_LNC000077)". Lineage: Eukaryota; Viridiplantae; Streptophyta; Magnoliopsida; Cucurbitales; Cucurbitaceae. The record is from RNAcentral.